GGCGGGGUAAUCUCCGGAGGCUUUUACUAUUGAAGCAGCCGUGAUGUUUGCAGCCAUGGCGGAGUUUGUGUAACCAAUCUAUAUCUUGGCUGGGCAAUCCAGUUGGCAAUUGUUGUGUUUGGAGAUUCUCUCUGGAGUGAACCAAACGAAGGUUGAGACUUACCGUAUCCUGGCGGGGUAAAUAUCGGAGGUUUUGCGGUAGAAAUUGGAUUGUUUACCGUUGAAGCAGCCGCGAUGUUUGCAGCCAUGGCAAUUUGAAGUAUGAAUAAGUUGAAAGUGAAUUUGCUCAGAGGAAUGAGGCUCCGGCUCUUGCCAUUCGAUGUCCAUUUAAAAAAGAUUGUGAUGAUGGAAAUUAUUUCGAGCAAAAUUGGAAUUUACAGUCAUGGCGGAUUUCGACAGUAAAUUCCAAAGUAACAUAUCUGAGCCUCGGAACCUUUAUCCUUGGAGAUGAACAUCUAUCUACCUAGAGGUGCGCAUUUCGUUUUUUAAAUCCCAAACCGGUUCAGGUUGAAAUCGUUUCGGUUUGGGUCAACAAUGUUCAAAACUGAUAUUUGGAGAAACCGGUUUACAAGUGGAAAAGGAUCUGUUCGAUUUAAAACUAGUUCUGGUUUUUUACCAGUUUCAAGGGAGGACUUCUCAAACUAAUAAGUGGAAAAGGAUCGGUUUCGGUUCGGGUUAAAAACUGGUUCUGGUUCACAAACCGGUUUUUUUGUUCACCUCUGCAUUUACCUAUAACCGCCUUAAAUGAUGAGAUGAGGUGUUAUGCUCAAGUGAAUUGAGGCUCAGGUGAGAUGUAGGAGGUUUCUUAGAGUAACUUCCCUCUUGCCAUUUGAUCCUCUGACCGCCCUAACCAACUGAGCUACUCUGUCUAUCUUUCAAACAAACAAACAAACACUUGAUCUUCAUCUUAUUUUAUGUUUCCGAAUCUUAAUCUGGCGCCUUUGCUGGUAUAAUAUUCUUCUUAGGCGGUGAUGAUGAAAUUCUUUUUAAGCAAAGUCGGAGUAUGGAGAUCCGAUCCGUAUCUUGGCGGGGCAAUCCAAAUGGCAACUGCGAUUGUAGCCAUCGCGGAUUAGGGCGUCUUAAAUCCAACUACAACUGAUCUGAGCCUCUUAUCUAGAGGUGGCAUAUUUCGGGUUUUUUUCCCCAAACGGGUACCAGUUGAAAUCGUUUCAGUUCAGGUCAACAACGGUUGAAACUGGUAUUUGGUGAAACCGGUUUACAAGUGGAAAGGGAUUAGUUUCGGUUUGGUUCAUAGACCGGUUCUGGUUCACAAACCGGGUUUUUUGUUCACCUCUACAUUUACCUAUAACCAAAUGAUGAGCAAACUUGGAAUUUACAGAUUGGAUCCGUAUCUUGGCUAGGCAACUCGGUCAGUAUGUAUUUGAUACAUGCAACUGUGAUUGCAGACACGGCGGAUUUAUACAAUAAAUUUUGAUGAUAAUAUAUCUGAGCCUCAAAACCUUUAUCAUUGGAGCUAAGAAAAUCAAUCUACCUAGAGGUGCACAUUUUCCCAAACCGGUGGUCGGUUUGAAACGGGGACCAAUUUCACCAAAACUGUUUCAUAAUCGGUUUCGGGUCGGGUCAAAACUGAUUCCAGUCCACAAAUCGGUUUUUUGUUCACCUCUACAUUCUUGGUUUUAAAAUGCGCGCAUAAUGCGUGAUGCGCACGAUGCAUUAAUGAGAGCGCAUUGCAACAGCUGAUGCGAUGCGUUUACGUGAUGCGAGAAUAUUGCGCGCAUUUCGCAUAAUGCGCUCUGAUGCAUGCAACAUUGUUUCUUAUGCUUUUUUACCAGAUUUUAUGAACUUUGUUCGGUUUUUUCCAUAAUUAACAUCUUAGUAUGCUUGAUUUGAACCAAAAAACACAACUCUUAUCUUCUAAUUACGUCAGUUGUUUUACUUUAAGUAUGUUUUUAUAAGUUUUUAUGUAUAAAUAAUUUUUAACUAUUUUUUUUUUAAAGAAUGCAUCACCUACGUGAUGAUGCGCUUGCAUCGCGCAUCAGAUUUUUGGACUAAGCGCAUCGGAGCGCAUCACUCAAUUUAAAACCAAGCUCUACAUUUAUGUUGUGUUAUUCUCAAGUGAAUUGAGACUAGGGGGAGAUUUUGCUCUUGGCAUUUGAUCUUCUGAUCAACUAUGAGUUGGUGAUUUUGCUUUAUCUUUUUUCUGUUGGUGGUGGGGCUAACUGUUUAAAAGUACGAGGCAAUGAUGAUAAACGUAGCCUGAGCAAAAUUGGAGUUUGUGGAACCGAUCUGUAUCUUGGCUGGGCAAUCCAGAUGGCAAUUGUUGUGUUUGGAGAUUCUCUCAUGAAUACUUUGCAACUGUGAUUGCAGCCAUGGUGGAUUGGGCAAAAACAAGUUCCAUUGUUACAGAUCUGAGCCUCUGUUUGUAUUGCAACAUUGAAAAGAGCAACUUUGAUUAAAAAUCACAAGUGAGUCAUGUACAAUAAAUCAGGGUUUGGGGGAACUGAAAGCUCAGGCAACACAAGUGAGGCAGCAGAGGGAAGGGGUUUUUCAUGGGGUGUUGCCCCCCUCAGCAGCCCAUGAUCUUCCAUUUGACCACAAAAUUUAACACCCUUUUCUGUAUAGGAACAUGAACAUACAUACUGAAGAACAUUUUUUGCACAUCAAGCCUUGGACAUAAGGCACAUAACACUCAGCAAUUGAUACAAAGGCCGAUCAGUGCGUGUACUCCCUUGUCUUUCGGCUAUCCACGUCACCACCACAUGAUGCAUGAUUAACCAUCCCCCUCGUUUAACGAUAUUUUCACGAAAUUAGUAAAAUAACGUUAAAAUUAGUGCACUUUCACUCCCCCCCCCCCAGCUCCCACAUAUAUACACGUUAUAUGCGAAUACUGCAAGCGGGGCGUUAAUUAACAUGGCUAUGACGAUGGGAAUUAUUUUGAAUAAAAUCGGAAUUUAUAUCUGAUCCGUAUCCUGGCUAGGCAACUCGGUCGGUAUGUAUAUGAUACAUGCAACUGUGAUUGCAGCCAUGGCGGAUUCGGGCCAAACAAGUUCCAUUUCUUCUUAUUUUUGCUAUCAGUGUUUUAAGUCUUAAUUGUUAGUGUUAAAUGUUAGCGUUUUGUGUCUUAAUCAGUUCCUACUUGCUACAAUUGUUAGUGUUUUGCAAGUUGCAAAAAGUUAAUUUGUUAAUGGUAGGAGAGCAUAUCGAACUAUUAGUGUUAAAUUGCUAUAUAUAUAUAAGUUCAUGAUAUUAAAAUUACCGAGAUCCCACGGCGAUAACAGAUAUCCGUUUUUUACGGCAUUAAUUGCAUAGUUAUGUUGAUGCUGUUGCUACUGCUGCUGCUGUUGUUUUAUUUGAAAAGGCUAUGACGAUGAAAUUAUUUCGAGCAAGAUCGGAAUUUACAGAUCUGAUCCUUUUCUUGGCUAGGCAACUCGGUCGGUAUGUAUAUGAUACAUGCAACUGUGAUUGCAGCCAUGGCGGAUUUUGACAGUAAAUUCCGAUGAUAACAUAUCUGAGCCUCAAAACCUUUGCAGCCCAUUAUUUUCGAUUUUCCCCCAAAUAUUCAACACCAUAUAUGAUACCCAUGCCUUCUGUCUACCGUACAUUUUCAUCCCUGUGAUCUUGUUGCUUCCUUCAAAUAUUAUUUUCCCACAAUACAAUGGAAACAUAUUGGUAUUCUUUUGGUAUUGUUCCUUGUAGAGGCUACAUUAUGAUGAAUUUGUCGUUGUCUGAGUGGAUCGAACGAAGGUUGAAACAGACCGUAUCUUGGUGGGGAAAUAUCCGGAGGCUUCUAUUUGAAGCAAACGUGAUGUUUGCAGCCAUGGCGGUAAAAUGCCAAUUUUUACACUGCAUAAAAAAGAGUAAAAUGCCAUUUUCAUCCCUGAGGUUUGGUCAGUUUUGCAACUUUUGUCCAAAGGUUUGUUUUUUCACAUCUGGAUCCAAAAGGUUUGAAAUCUGGCCAUUUUCAUCCGGCUCGUUAAUUCCAUCCAUUUUUCUCCGUUAAGUCAGAGGUAUUUUCGUACAUAAAGUGAAAAUGACCAAAUUGCCCUUUGUUGUUGUUGUUGUUCUAUAUAUAAAGAAUAUGAUGAUGGAAAUUAUUUCAAGCGAAAUCGGAAUUACAGGUCUGAUCCGUAUCUUGGCUAGGCAACUUGGUCGGUAUGUAUUUGAUAGAUGCAACUGUGAUUGCAGCCAUGGCGGAUUUUGAAAAUAAAUUCCAAUGAUAAUAUAUCUGAGCCUCAAAACCUUAAAAUGCCAUUUUCGUCCCUGAGGUUUGGUCAGUUUUGCAACCAGUAGCAGGUAAACGGGCAACAAGCUAUGCCGCAAACCCUUUUGAAUAGCAAAACCGAACCUACUAAAGAGGGAGGAGUUCUCAAACUGGUGGUCGGUUUGAAACUGGACCAGUUUCACCAAACCUGUUUCAUAAUCGGUUUCGGGUCGGGUCAAAACUGGUUCCAGUUCACAAACCGGUGUUUUGUUCACCUCUACAUUUAUAAUAGCCUCCUUAAAAUAUGAGAUGAGGUGUUAUACUGUGUUAUUCUCAUGUGAACCGAGGCAAUGAUGAUAUAUGUAGGUUGAGCAAAAUAGGAGUUUGUGGAACCGAUCUGUAUCUUGGCUGGGCAAUCCAGUUGGUGAUUGUUGUGUUUGGAGAUUCUCUCUGGAGUUUGCAACUGCAAUUGCAGCCAUGGUGGAUUGGGCAAAAACAAAUUCCAUUGCUACAGAGAAGUGAGGCAGCAGAGGGAAGGGUUUUUUUAUGGGGUGUUGCCCUCCUCAGCAGUCGAUGAUCUUCGAUUUCCCCCAAAAUUUAACACCCCUUUCUGGAUAGGAACAUGAACAUACAGACUGAACAACAUCUACUCAUUCUUUUUCUGGUAGUGCCAGCUGUAGCAUACUCGUACCCAGAAGCAGCGAUGCUUAAGGUGAUGAUGAAAUUCUUGUUGCCUGAGUGGAUCGAACAAAGCUUGAACCAGACCGUAUCUUGGCGGGGUAACUUCCGGAGGCUUCUACUAUUGAAGCAGCCGUGAUGUUUGCAGCCAUGGCGGCUUGCUCUUCUUUGUUCUCAUUAGUAACAGAUCUGAGCCUCUUUUAAUUCUUGUUUUUUUAUUUUUCAUAUUUUGUUUUAAUUUAGAUUCGGGGAUUUGACUUUUGAUAAUAAUGUUUUACAAUUUAGUAAUUAAUAAUAUAUAGUUUAGAGUUUAAGAAUGAAAAAGUUUAAAUUGAUGGCACGUAAAAACAAACUCCAAAAUCAUAUAGUUUGAUUAGAUUUAUAAAUAUAUUUUAUACUUUAUUUUUUUACAGUUCUUUUCUCCAUGAUUUGAUUUAAUUUAGAUUUGGGGUUUGCACUUUUAAUAAAAACUGUUACAGUUUAGUUAGAUUUUAAGUAUGAUUUAGGAUUCUAACAAAUCUGAGGUGUUUGUUAUAUUGUGUUUUG
Long non-coding RNA from Helianthus annuus (common sunflower), 5386 nucleotides. RefSeq lists it as uncharacterized. NCBI's taxonomy places the organism in Eukaryota, Viridiplantae, Streptophyta, Magnoliopsida, Asterales, Asteraceae. The transcript has 4 exons. The record is from RefSeq and is a predicted model, not a curated record.